RNAcentral lists this ribosomal RNA (460 nucleotides) under uncultured bacterium. RNAcentral's name for it is "partial 16S ribosomal RNA". It matches the Rfam family "Bacterial small subunit ribosomal RNA", at positions 338 to 795 of the family's 1533-position model. The record is from RNAcentral.
CCUACGGGAGGCAGCAGUGAGGAAUAUUGGUCAAUGGACGAGAGUCUGAACCAGCCAAGUAGCGUGAAGGAUGACUGCCCUAUGGGUUGUAAACUUCUUUUAUAUGGGAAUAAAACGUUCCACGUGUGGGAUUUUGUAUGUACCAUAUGAAUAAGGAUCGGCUAACUCCGUGCCAGCAGCCGCGGUAAUACGGAGGAUCCGAGCGUUAUCCGGAUUUAUUGGGUUUAAAGGGAGCGUAGGUGGAUUGUUAAGUCAGUUGUGAAAGUUUGCGGCUCAACCGUAAAAUUGCAGUUGAAACUGGCAGUCUUGAGUACAGUAGAGGUGGGCGGAAUUCGUGGUAUAGCGGUGAAAUGCUUAGAUAUCACGAAGAACUCCGAUUGCGAAGGCAGUUCACUGGACUGCAACUGACACUGAGGCUCGAAAGUGUGGGUAUCAAACAGGAUUAGAUACCCCUGUAGUC